CUCUCUCCCCCAGGUCCCUUCGGGGCGCCCGCCAGCGGCCGCGAGCCGCCUGAACUUUUUUUAAACCGUAACGAAACGUCUGAGAAACAAACAAAAACAGCCAAAACUUUCAACAACGGAUCUCUUGGCUCUGGCAUCGAUGAAGAACGCAGCGAAAUGCGAUACGUAAUGCGAAUUGCAGAAUUCAGCGAGUCAUCGAAUCUUUGAACGCACAUUGCGCCCGCCAGCAUUCUGGCGGGCAUGCCUGUCCGAGCGUCAUUUCCCCCCUCAGCACGCCCUUUGGGUGCGCUGGCGUUGGGGCUCCUCCGCCCUCUGUGGCGGCAGGGCCCUCAAAUCCAGUGGCGGGCCCGUCUGGUUGGCUCCGAGCGCAGUACCGAACGCAAGUUCUCUCUCUCGCCCUGCAGCCCCGGCCGGCGCCCAGCCGUCAAGCCGCGCAGGCAGCCCUCUCAGGGCCGCCUCGCAUUUACAAGGUAGCCUCAGU
RNAcentral lists this small RNA (481 nucleotides) under Ophiostoma sp. LJ-2015. RNAcentral's name for it is "eukaryotic LSU rRNA". The stretch from base 105 to 258 matches the Rfam family "5.8S ribosomal RNA". The record is from RNAcentral. Lineage: Eukaryota; Fungi; Ascomycota; Sordariomycetes; Ophiostomatales; Ophiostomataceae.